This is an RNA transcript of Caenorhabditis elegans, 1051 nucleotides long. It is a transcript of the gene named Non-coding transcript of protein-coding gene sru-24, with no coding region annotated. NCBI's taxonomy places the organism in Eukaryota, Metazoa, Nematoda, Chromadorea, Rhabditida, Rhabditidae. The transcript is spliced from 5 exons. The record is from RefSeq and is marked reviewed.
AUGUCCGCACCCAGUCUGAUAACAUUCAGUAUUCACGGUAACAUUGCAUACAUUAAUUAUCAAUUUUCAUUUUUCACACUUCCCGUGUUAUUACUGUUCGUACCAGUUUUGUAUAUUCCCGCCACGUGUGUUAUUGUGUUCCGGAUAUGUUCAACAUUAUUGAUAGAAUACAAAAAUAAAAACGUCAAUAUUCAAUUGUUUGGAGUUAUCACGUUAUCGCAUGUUAUGUGUCUUCUCUUCUUCACGACUGAACUUUUCUACCUCCGUCUUCCGAUGGCCGGAGUUUUCACAAGCUGGUGUGCCAGUGUAUUGCCAAAUGGUUAUUUGAUUAGUCUUGUUAUUAUGACCUAUUAUUUCAAUUAUGCAACUAUGGCCUUCCCGUUUUUGGUGGCUCUCCUCAGGUUGAAUUUGAUAAUUUUCCCGUCGACUCAUGCAAAGGUCAAUAAAGGAAUACUGAAAAUCGCAAUUCCAUUAAUUUUCACUUACCCCUUUAUCUUCACUUUCUUCUUAUUUCCCGGCUCCGGGUUCUGCACGAAAAUCGAAUUUCUACCGUUUGGAUCUAUUAUUCUUCGUGUCACAGAUACUUUAUUCGGGAUCAACAACACAAUCCCGCUGAUUUUCACCACUUUUUUCUGGUUUUCAGCCUGUUUGAUAACUAAUUUUGUGCUGAUUUUCAAACUGAUUAGACAUAGAUUCACAGUUGAUUUGAGCAUGAGAUCUCAGAAAUCACAUAAAGCAGAGAUAUCGCUAACUCUGACAACGGUAUCCAUGACGUUCUCAUUUUUGACCAAUGGAAUGAUUGCAGUAGGUUUAGUGAAGAAUUUAGACACAGGGAGUGACGUCACACAACUCUAAAAUUUAGUUUCCCGCAAAUACUAUUUCUGGAAUUUUCUUCCCAAGCGUCGCUGUGUACCUUAUUGUGAUCCGGCCCUUUACAAAUGAUUUAGACACGUGUAUCGUUCCUUGGGUUUUCUACUUGACUCAUCCAAUUUUCCAAGAGAAGCCGAAAAAUCGAAUAAUCGUUUCCAGUGUUGAAAGAAUUCAUAAUUAA